RNAcentral lists this ribosomal RNA (470 nucleotides) under uncultured bacterium. Its description in RNAcentral is "partial 16S ribosomal RNA". The record is from RNAcentral.
GAAAAGAAAGAAAAAGAAAAGAAAAAAAAAAAAANAAAAAAAAAAAAAAAAAAAGAAAGAAAAGAAAAGAAGAAAAGAAAAGAAGAAAAAGAAAGAAGAAAAAGAAAGAAAAGAAAGAAGAAAAGAAAAAGAGAGAAAUCUUUGAAUGGGAAAUAAAAAUUAGGUAGUUAUCAUGAAAACCAUGAAAACCCCGUUGUGUUAUCUUUGGAUAUUAUUUUGCGUGCUUUGUACUGGCUCCAGCCUUGGUAACCUACUUUUUUUUUGAAUACCCCAAUUAAUAAAAUUAAAAUUAAAAUUAAAAUUAAAAUUAAAAUUAAAAUAAAAUAAAAAGACCCAUGGGAUGACCUCCAAAAAGUUUUGGUUAAAGCCACAAAUGAUAUGAAACGAGAUGCUCUUGCGUCGUGCUUUAUUUUUCCGAAGACAGAGUCUUUAGGUGAUGUUGCCCCUUUCGUUACCUAUGAGAUGGAGAC